CUGGCCCUGAAUCAAGGCCAGCAGCUUCCUGAUGCUGUUGGUUUCAAGCAGGAGCCUAAAGAAAUCUCUUUCUAUAGUCUGUUGGCCAUUUCAGAACUUGGGCAGUGAAAUGGUCAAUUCAUUAGAAAGAAACAGCU
Molecule: small nucleolar RNA, 137 nt
Organism: Cavia porcellus (domestic guinea pig)
Lineage: Eukaryota; Metazoa; Chordata; Mammalia; Rodentia; Caviidae
Source: Ensembl